GUGCUCACUUCAGCAGCACAUAGACUCAAAUUAGAACCAUACAGAUACUAGCAUGGCCCCAGUGCAAGGAUGACAUGCAAAUUCAUGAAGUGUUCCAUAAAAAC
This is a small nuclear RNA of Ailuropoda melanoleuca (giant panda), 104 nucleotides long. The record is from Ensembl. NCBI's taxonomy places the organism in Eukaryota, Metazoa, Chordata, Mammalia, Carnivora, Ursidae.